This 429-nucleotide ribosomal RNA is filed under the name Bacillota bacterium. Its description in RNAcentral is "Firmicutes bacterium partial 16S ribosomal RNA". It matches the Rfam family "Bacterial small subunit ribosomal RNA", at positions 355 to 776 of the family's 1533-position model. Lineage: Bacteria; Bacillati; Bacillota. The record is from RNAcentral.
UAGGGAAUCUUCGGCAAUGGACGGAAGUCUGACCGAGCAACGCCGCGUGAGUGAAGAAGGUUUUCGGAUCGUAAAGCUCUGUUGUUAGAGAAGAACGUUGGUAGGAGUGGAAAAUCUACCAAGUGACGGUAACUAACCAGAAAGGGACGGCUAACUACGUGCCAGCAGCCGCGGUAAUACGUAGGUCCCGAGCGUUGUCCGGAUUUAUUGGGCGUAAAGCGAGCGCAGGCGGUUCUUUAAGUCUGAAGUUAAAGGCAGUGGCUUAACCAUUGUACGCUUUGGAAACUGGAGGACUUGAGUGCAGAAGGGGAGGGGGGAAUUCCAUGUGUGGCGGUGAAAUGCGUAGAUAUAUGGAGGAACACCGGUGGCGAAAGCGGCUCGCUGGUCUGUAACUGACGCUGAGGCUCGAAAGCGUGGGGAGCAAGCAGG